CCAGGCUGUGGGAAGCGCGGCUGCGGCCCGGAGAGUCUUGGCGCUGACCCUGCUGAGCCCGCCGAUUGGAGGCCUCGCCCGCCCAGGGUUCCAGAAGGUUCAAGUUCCUGCAGGAGAUGAUGCUCCUCUGGGCCAUGCUCCUUGUCAUCUGGUUGCCUCAGGUCAUGCUGGAAGGACAUUGGACCUAUAAUCUGAAAUGCCACGAUUGUUGGACCAUCAACA
Long non-coding RNA from Leopardus geoffroyi (Geoffroy's cat), 222 nucleotides. RefSeq lists it as uncharacterized. The record is from RefSeq and is a predicted model, not a curated record. The transcript has 3 exons. Lineage: Eukaryota; Metazoa; Chordata; Mammalia; Carnivora; Felidae.